GGGGAAUAUUGCGCAAUGGGGGAAACCCUGACGCAGCAACGCCGCGUGAAGGAUGAAGGUUUUCGGAUUGUAAACUUCUUUGAUGGGGGACGAAACAAAUGACGGUACCCCAAAAACAAGCCACGGCUAACUACGUGCCAGCAGCCGCGGUAAUACGUAGGUGGCGAGCGUUGUCCGGAAUUACUGGGUGUAAAGGGCGUGUAGGCGGGAUUGUAAGUCAGAUGUGAAAUUCCAGAGCUUAACUCUGGCGCUGCAUCUGAAACUGCGAUUCUUGAGUGCUGGAGAGGAUAGUGGAAUUCCUAGUGUAGCGGUGAAAUGCGUAGAUAUUAGGAGGAACACCAGUGGCGAAGGCGGCUAUCUGGACAGUAACUGACGCUGAGGCGCGAAAGCGUGGGGAGCAAAC
Molecule: ribosomal RNA, 403 nt
Filed under: uncultured bacterium
Lineage: Bacteria
Description: bacterial SSU rRNA
Rfam family: Bacterial small subunit ribosomal RNA
Source: RNAcentral